This 427-nucleotide ribosomal RNA is filed under the name Salmonella enterica. RNAcentral's name for it is "bacterial SSU rRNA". It matches the Rfam family "Bacterial small subunit ribosomal RNA", at positions 1088 to 1515 of the family's 1533-position model. RNAcentral also lists the same sequence under 1 other name. The record is from RNAcentral. Lineage: Bacteria; Pseudomonadati; Pseudomonadota; Gammaproteobacteria; Enterobacterales; Enterobacteriaceae.
CGCAACGAGCGCAACCCUUAUCCUUUGUUGCCAGCGAUUCGGUCGGGAACUCAAAGGAGACUGCCAGUGAUAAACUGGAGGAAGGUGGGGAUGACGUCAAGUCAUCAUGGCCCUUACGACCAGGGCUACACACGUGCUACAAUGGCGCAUACAAAGAGAAGCGACCUCGCGAGAGCAAGCGGACCUCAUAAAGUGCGUCGUAGUCCGGAUUGGAGUCUGCAACUCGACUCCAUGAAGUCGGAAUCGCUAGUAAUCGUGGAUCAGAAUGCCACGGUGAAUACGUUCCCGGGCCUUGUACACACCGCCCGUCACACCAUGGGAGUGGGUUGCAAAAGAAGUAGGUAGCUUAACCUUCGGGAGGGCGCUUACCACUUUGUGAUUCAUGACUGGGGUGAAGUCGUAACAAGGUAACCGUAGGGGAACCUGC